RNAcentral lists this long non-coding RNA (322 nucleotides) under Laticauda laticaudata (blue-ringed sea krait). RNAcentral describes it as "lncRNA (ENSLLTG00000015620.1)". The record is from RNAcentral. Lineage: Eukaryota; Metazoa; Chordata; Lepidosauria; Squamata; Elapidae.
GGCUGCGUAAGGGAGACCAUGAUGUCAUGGGCUUCUCUUUUCCUGCCCUUCCCACAGUUCCAGGAAGAGAAGCGCCGGAGAGAAAUCGAGGAACGCCGGCGGUUCCCCCUCGAGCAGCGACUCCGAGAACACAUCAUUGGCCAAGAGAGCGCCAUCGCCACCGUCGGAGCUGACGUUUCUUGACCCUACUAGGGAAUAUCAUCAGUGCUGGAAGGGAGCGGAGUUUGCACAGAGGGAGACAACGGUGGGUCCUUUUGUGCUUUCUGAGCCUGCCUGUUUCAUUGCAGACAUUUUCUGACCAAACCAGGGAAUACCAUCAGUG